AGACCCGAAACCCGGUGAUCUAGCCAUGGGCAGGUUGAAGGUUGGGUAACACUAACUGGAGGACCGAACCGACUAAUGUUGAAAAAUUAGCGGAUGACCUGUGGCUGGGGGUGAAAGGCCAAUCAAACCGGGAGAUAGCUGGUUCUCCCCGAAAGCUAUUUAGGUAGCGCCUCGUGAAUUCAUCUCCGGGGGUAGAGCACUGUUUCGGCUAGGGGGCCAUCCCGGCUUACCAACCCGAUGCAAACUGCGAAUACCGGAGAAUGUUAUCACGGGAGACACACGGCGGGUGCUAACGUCCGUCGUGAAGAGGGAAACAACCCAGACCGCCAGCUAAGGUCCCAAAGUCAUGGUUAAGUGGGAAACGAUGUGGGAAGGCCCAGACAGCCAGGAUGUUGGCUUAGAAGCAGCCAUCAUUUAAAGAAAGCGUAAUAGCUCACUGGUCGAGUCGGCCUGCGCGGAAGAUGUAACGGGGCUAAACCAUGCACCGAAGCUGCGGCAGCGACACUCAGGUGUUGUUGGGUAGGGGAGCGUUCUGUAAGCCUGCGAAGGUGGCCUGUGAGGGUUGCUGGAGGUAUCAGAAGUGCGAAUGCUGACAUAAGUAACGAUAAAGCGGGUGAAAAGCCCGCUCGCCGGAAGACCAAGGGUUCCUGUCCAACGUUAAUCGGGGCAGGGUGAGUCGACCCCUAAGGCGAGGCCGAAAGGCGUAGUCGAUGGGAAACGGGUUAAUAUUCCCGUACUUGGUGUUACUGCGAAGGGGGGACGGAGAAGGCUAUGUUGGCCGGGCGACGGUUGUCCCGGUUUAAGCGUGUAGGUGUGUGUUCCAGGUAAAUCCGGUUCACUUUAACACUGAGGCGUGACGACGAGGCACUACGGUGCUGAAGCAACAAAUGCCCUGCUUCCAGGAAAAGCCUCUAAGCAUCAGGUAACAUCAAAUCGUACCCCAAACCGACACAGGUGGUCAGGUAGAGAAUACCAAGGCGCUUGAGAGAACUCGGGUGAAGGAACUAGGCAAAAUGGUGCCGUAACUUCGGGAGAAGGCACGCUGACACGUAGGUGAAGUGAUUUACUCAUGGAGCUGAAGUCAGUCGAAGAUACCAGCUGGCUGCAACUGUUUAUUAAAAACACAGCACUGUGCAAACACGAAAGUGGACGUAUACGGUGUGACGCCUGCCCGGUGCCGGAAGGUUAAUUGAUGGGGUCAGCGCAAGCGAAGCUCCUGAUCGAAGCCCCGGUAAACGGCGGCCGUAACUAUAACGGUCCUAAGGUAGCGAAAUUCCUUGUCGGGUAAGUUCCGACCUGCACGAAUGGCGUAAUGAUGGCCAGGCUGUCUCCACCCGAGACUCAGUGAAAUUGAACUCGCUGUGAAGAUGCAGUGUACCCGCGGCAAGACGGAAAGACCCCGUGAACCUUUACUAUAGCUUGACACUGAACAUUGAGCCUUGAUGUGUAGGAUAGGUGGGAGGCUUUGAAGUGUGGACGCCAGUCUGCAUGGAGCCGACCUUGAAAUACCACCCUUUAAUGUUUGAUGUUCUAACGUGGACCCGUGAUCCGGGUUGCGGACAGUGUCUGGUGGGUAGUUUGACUGGGGCGGUCUCCUCCUAAAGAGUAACGGAGGAGCACGAAGGUUGGCUAAUCCUGGUCGGACAUCAGGAGGUUAGUGCAAUGGCAUAAGCCAGCUUGACUGCGAGCGUGACGGCGCGAGCAGGUGCGAAAGCAGGUCAUAGUGAUCCGGUGGUUCUGAAUGGAAGGGCCAUCGCUCAACGGAUAAAAGGUACUCCGGGGAUAACAGGCUGAUACCGCCCAAGAGUUCAUAUCGACGGCGGUGUUUGGCACCUCGAUGUCGGCUCAUCACAUCCUGGGGCUGAAGUAGGUCCCAAGGGUAUGGCUGUUCGCCAUUUAAAGUGGUACGCGAGCUGGGUUUAGAACGUCGUGAGACAGUUCGGUCCCUAUCUGCCGUGGGCGCUGGAGAACUGAGGGGGGCUGCUCCUAGUACGAGAGGACCGGAGUGGACGCAUCACUGGUGUUCGGGUUGUCAUGCCAAUGGCACUGCCCGGUAGCUAAAUGCGGAAGAGAUAAGUGCUGAAAGCAUCUAAGCACGAAACUUGCCCCGA
RNAcentral lists this ribosomal RNA (2111 nucleotides) under Salmonella enterica. RNAcentral's name for it is "partial 23S ribosomal RNA". It matches the Rfam family "Bacterial large subunit ribosomal RNA", at positions 711 to 2802 of the family's 2925-position model. Lineage: Bacteria; Pseudomonadati; Pseudomonadota; Gammaproteobacteria; Enterobacterales; Enterobacteriaceae. The record is from RNAcentral. RNAcentral also lists the same sequence under 2 other names.